UACGUAGGUGGCAAGCGUUGUCCGGAUUUACUGGGCGUAAAGGGCGUGCAGGCGGUUUGUUAAGUUCAGGGUGAAAGCUCCCGGCUCAACUGGGAGAGGUCCUUGGAUACUGGCAGACUUGAGGAGGGUAGAGGAGGGUGGAAUUCCCGGUGUAGUGGUGAUAUGCGUAGAUAUCGGGAGGAACACCAGUGGCGAAGGCGGCUCUCUGGGCCCUACCUGACGCUGAGACGCGAAAGCGUGGGGAGCGAACAGG
Molecule: ribosomal RNA, 253 nt
Filed under: uncultured bacterium
Lineage: Bacteria
Description: partial 16S ribosomal RNA
Rfam family: Bacterial small subunit ribosomal RNA
Source: RNAcentral